GGAGGAUUAGUGUAACGGUUUCACACGAGGGACUUUGACUCCCUAAUAGGCAGUUCAACUCUGUCAUCCUCUA
RNAcentral lists this transfer RNA (73 nucleotides) under Streptococcus salivarius. RNAcentral's name for it is "tRNA-Gln". It matches the Rfam family "tRNA". From Rfam's summary of the family: Transfer RNA (tRNA) molecules are approximately 80 nucleotides in length. Lineage: Bacteria; Bacillati; Bacillota; Bacilli; Lactobacillales; Streptococcaceae. The record is from RNAcentral. RNAcentral also lists the same sequence under 2 other names.